UUGGGAACUACUGUACCUCGUGUGUGUGUUGGCAAUUUAUUGUUGGCAUGCGUGCGUGUGUAUCUCAAUUGGACCUGAUAUCAGACAAGAUUACCCGCUGAACUUAAGCAUAUCAAUAAGCGGAGGAAUCUAGAUGCAUCGCGAGUACCAGUCGAUCGCGAGCUCUUUACCCCC
Molecule: ribosomal RNA, 174 nt
Filed under: Pythium sp. F-1541.8
Lineage: Eukaryota; Oomycota; Peronosporomycetes; Pythiales; Pythiaceae
Description: partial 28S ribosomal RNA
Source: RNAcentral